RNAcentral lists this ribosomal RNA (826 nucleotides) under uncultured Fibrobacter sp. RNAcentral describes it as "bacterial SSU rRNA". It matches the Rfam family "Bacterial small subunit ribosomal RNA", at positions 8 to 852 of the family's 1533-position model. Lineage: Bacteria; Pseudomonadati; Fibrobacterota; Fibrobacteria; Fibrobacterales; Fibrobacteraceae. The record is from RNAcentral.
AGAGUUCGAUCCUGGCUCAGGAUGAACGCUGGCGGCGUGCCUAACACAUGCAAGUCGAGCGGAGUUAAGUUUUCGGAUUUAACUUAGCGGCGGAUGGGUGAGUAACGCGUGGAUAACCUGCCCUGCUCAGGGGGAUAACAGUUGGAAACGACUGUUAAUACCGCAUAUGCACACAGUACCGCAUGGUACAGGGUGGAAAGAUUUUAUCGGAGCAGGAUGGAUCCGCGUCGGAUUAACUAGUUGGCGGGGUAACGGCCCACCAAGGUGAUGAUCCGUAGCCGACCUGAGAGGGUGACCGGCCACAUUGGGACUGAGACACGGCCCAAACUCCUACGGGAGGCAGCAGUGGGGGAUAUUGCACAAUGGGCGCAAGCCUGAUGCAGCGACGCCGCGUGAAGGAAGACGUAUUUCGGUAUGUAAACUUCUAUCAGCGGGGAAGAAGAUGACGGUACCCGACUAAGAAGCCCCGGCUAACUACGUGCCAGCAGCCGCGGUAAUACGUAGGGGGCAAGCGUUAUCCGGAUUUACUGGGUGUAAAGGGAGCGUAGACGGCACAGCAAGUCUGAUGUGAAAACCCGCGGCUCAACUGCGGGAUUGCAUUGGAAACUGUUGAGCUUGAGUACUGGAGGGGCAGGCGGAAUUCCUGGUGGAGCGGUGAAAUGCGGAGAUAUCAGGAGGAACACCGGUGGCGAAGGCGGCUUGCUGGACAUGUACUGACGUUGAGGCUCGAAAGCGUGGGGGGCAAACAGGAUUAGAAACCCUGGUAGUACACGCCGGAAACGAUGAAAACUAGGGGUUGGAGUCCAUAAGGGGCGGGGGCCCACGU